CCUGAUAUUGAAAUUCGGCACAGCUUGUACAGGAUAGGUAGGAGCCUUUGAAACGUGAGCGCUAGCUUACGUGGAGGCGCUGGUGGGAUACUACCCUAGCUGUGUUGGCUUUCUAACCCGCACCACUUAUCGUGGUGGGAGACAGUGUCAGGCGGGCAGUUUGACUGGGGCGGUCGCCUCCUAAAAGGUAACGGAGGCGCUCAAAGGUUCCCUCAGAAUGGUUGGAAAUCAUUCAUAGAGUGUAAAGGCAUAAG
Molecule: ribosomal RNA, 254 nt
Filed under: Staphylococcus aureus
Lineage: Bacteria; Bacillati; Bacillota; Bacilli; Caryophanales; Staphylococcaceae
Description: partial 23S ribosomal RNA
Rfam family: Bacterial large subunit ribosomal RNA
Source: RNAcentral